GGACUACAGGGGUAUCUAAUCCCGUUCGCUCCCCUGGCUUUCGCGCCUCAACGUCAGUCGGAGUCCAGGACCUCGCUUUCGCCGUCGGCGUUCCUGCCGAUCUCAACGCAUUUCACCGCUCCACCGGCAGUUCCAGGUCCCCCUCCUCCACUCGAGGCCGGCCAUCUCGGCGCCUGUUCCCCGGUUAAGCCGGGGGCUUUCAGCGUCCGAUGCACCGACCCGUCUACGCGCCCUUUAAGCCCAAUGAUUCCGAAUAACGUUCGCACGGUUCGUCUUACCGCGGCUGCUGGCAC
Molecule: ribosomal RNA, 293 nt
Filed under: uncultured Planctomycetota bacterium
Lineage: Bacteria; Pseudomonadati; Planctomycetota
Description: uncultured planctomycete partial 16S ribosomal RNA
Source: RNAcentral